ACGAACGCUGGCGGCGUGCUUAACACAUGCAAGUCGAACGGAAAGGCCCUGCUUUUGUGGGGUGCUCGAGUGGCGAACGGGUGAGUAACACGUGAGUAACCUGCCCUUGCCUUUGGGAUAACUUCAGGAAACUGGGGCUAAUACCGGAUAGGAGCUCCUGCUGCAUGGUGGGGGUUGGAAAGUUUCGGCGGUUGGGGAUGGACUCGCGGCUUAUCAGCUUGUUGGUGGGGUAGUGGCUUACCAAGGCUUUGACGGGUAGCCGGCCUGAGAGGGUGACCGGCCACAUUGGGACUGAGAUACGGCCCAGACUCCUACGGGAGGCAGCAGUGGGGAAUAUUGCACAAUGGGCGGAAGCCUGAUGCAGCAACGCCGCGUGCGGGAUGACGGCCUUCGGGUUGUAAACCGCUUUCGCCUGUGACGAAGCGUGAGUGACGGUAAUGGGUAAAGAAGCACCGGCUAACUACGUG
Molecule: ribosomal RNA, 467 nt
Filed under: uncultured bacterium
Lineage: Bacteria
Description: partial 16S ribosomal RNA
Rfam family: Bacterial small subunit ribosomal RNA
Source: RNAcentral